This 368-nucleotide long non-coding RNA is filed under the name Elaeis guineensis (African oil palm). RNAcentral's name for it is "long non-coding RNA (EGUI_LNC029488)". Lineage: Eukaryota; Viridiplantae; Streptophyta; Magnoliopsida; Arecales; Arecaceae. The record is from RNAcentral.
GAAACUCUUUGCACACCACUUUUAUCCACUUAACAUGGGAUCAUCUUGGUGGAGAUGAUCAUCAUGAUCAUUAACUAAAGGCUUGACAACCUCCAUGUGAUCCUCCCCUUGGUAAUUUUCACCCUAGCUUAUUGUAUGAUUAGGCCAUCUAUGUGCCAAAUCUAUCAGAUUGAUCAAAAGGCUAGGUUUGAUUUUACCCGAGUAAAAAGACAUGACAUUUCUAGUAUGACAAGGAUAUGGCCACAAAGGGAAGCAAAGAGGGGCAGUAAUAUAACUCACAGGUAGAGAAACAAACCAAUAACAAUUAAUUACAUAGAGAUUAAUUAAGAAAAUGAUUCUUCUAAUUGGAGUGAUUAUCACAUUGAAGA